This 544-nucleotide ribosomal RNA is filed under the name uncultured bacterium. RNAcentral describes it as "bacterial SSU rRNA". It matches the Rfam family "Bacterial small subunit ribosomal RNA", at positions 28 to 545 of the family's 1533-position model. The record is from RNAcentral.
GAUGAACGCUAGCGGGAGGCUUAACACAUGCAAGUCGAGGGGCAUCUCUGGUAGCAAUACUGGAGGCGACCGGCGUACGGGUGAGUAACGCGUAUGUAACCUACCCUUUACCGGGGGAUAGCUCCCGGAAACGGGAAUUAAUACCCCAUGAGGUUUCGGAGGCGCAUGCUUUCGGGAUCAAAGCUACGGCGGUAAAGGAUGGGCAUGCGUAGCAUUAGCUAGUUGGCAGGGUAACGGCCUACCAAGGCUACGAUGCUUAGGGGACCUGAGAGGGUGUACCCCCACACUGGUACUGAGACACGGACCAGACUCCUACGGGAGGCAGCAGUGAGGAAUAUUGGUCAAUGGGCGGAAGCCUGAACCAGCCAUCCCGCGUGCAGGAAGAAGGCGCUAAGCGUUGUAAAACUGCUUUUUGCAGGGGGAAGAAACUUCCGGUUGCGACCGGGACUGACGGUACCUCGUGUAGAAUAGACACGUCGGUACCUAACGUCCGUCGACCGCGACGACCGCCGGUAACGGUAAAGUACGUUACCUACUACUCGUA